AAUUCUAUAGAUCAAGUUUCACCGGACAGGAACUAUUUGAUUCAGCGGGUUGACAUCUUCACUUAGCCUGAGGGCAGAGCCAGCGUGACACUGUUAGUUUAAUCAGGCAUUACGCUACUCAAAUUGACUGUGUGUUUGCCUGUGAGUACGAAAGUGUGAGUGUGAGGGAGUCUUUUUAAUUUCAUUUGCAUACAGAUACAUCGCACUUCCGGUCAAAUUGCUGUGUCUCAGCCCCUAGAUCAAAAGUGGCAAAUAGUUGUUUGGGACUUUGAUAUAUGGAACUUAACCUUACUUUCAAAUCACCUUUCAGUAGGAAAGGUUGUCACCUAUAAUGUUAUUCGUGCCAGAAUGCAUUAUCAUUGGGGCACACCUUCUUCGAGUUUUCCAGUGUCUUUAUUGGCAUAGUGGUCCAAUAGGCAAGCUACUCUCUCUCUUUCUCUCUCUCUCUUUCUCUCUCUCACUGUCCAUUGAAGCAUCCAUCUUGCAGGCCACCUAAAUUCACUUUGAUACUGCGUUGACAUUUUGUUCUCAGUAAAACUCUAAGGGCCAGUUUAUCAAAGUUGUGUUGACGAUAGGGCUGCUGAUCCAGCGGUCUUGGUUGUAAUCUUGGAAUUGGGAGAAUGUACCUUAUGGACCUAGACUCUUUUAUUAGUCUCUACCACUGCCUACUAAUUAAUCAAGUCUGGUCAACUAAAUAGAAACACACACACAAACUUUGAGCAAUCAUUCAGUAUAACUGAGACUGACUAUCUUUCUCUCUUUCUCUCUCUUCAUAUGUGUAUAAGUUUUUUUUACAUACAAUAAAAUCGUAUCUUUUAAUUUUCAAAAAAAAAAAAACUGUAUAAAGACACACACACACACGUUCUAAAACAACACAUUAGUUUAAGAAAGUGACCUAUUUGUUUAAAAUACACAACACACUAUGUGUAGUCUAAUAAUAGACUCGCUUUUAUAUUGGCAAAGAGCCACUGGCGUUGAGAGAGAGGAGGGGAAACAAAAAGGGCGGAGGGGGUGGGGGCUCUAUUUACUUAACAAAUAAUAGAGCAGAAUAAAAUUUUGCUGAAAAAUUACUGCCCUACAGCCCAUUAAAUAACAUGGUAGAGUUCUGGGAUACAUAGCACUAAUGUCCCUGAAGGAAUCGUGGUCCACCAAGUCCGCUGACCAAAUCAACUUCUUUUAAGUGCAUUUCACUUUGACUUCAGGUCUUCAAAUGUCGACUGGACAAUGGAUGCAGACGUCGCAAAUGUCAUGUACAAUGUGUAUAUAUAGCCCGGAGAGCGAGCGCAUGACAUUGUCUGGUGGACGGGGAGGGGAGACACAGGAACUACUUAAAACACAAAUGCAUAGAGAAAGAAUGGACCAGUGGUGCGUGACUCUUCUGAAAGCAGGUCCGGUUCAGAACAACAACAAGAAAACUUCCAAACCCCAGUCUGAACUUCGAACUCAAGACCUUGACCUUGAGACCUUAACCUCGAGACAGUUCCGAUACGACUUCAGGAAAGUUACAAUUGUCGCUUUGUUAGUCAGUCAGUACACGAUGCUGUAAGAUGAAAUCAAUCAAAUGUAUAAUGUAACCAUUUUUGGAGGUUUGUAAUUAUGCAAUGCUAGGACAUUGUGCGCAUCAGUCGAAUUUUGGUGCCGAGGGCUAAGCCCUUAUCUUUCCAUAUUAUUUUAAGUUUUGAAAGGGCUGCUGUGGACUGUGCUAUUCGGGCCAAGAGUUCGGGUUUUGUUCCCUCAUCUACGGGGCUCGCAAAGACCUUCCUUCAGGGAACAGUGCCAGGAAAAGAAGAGGCAGACAGAAAAAGCGAUGGGAGGACAACAUUAAAGAAUGGACGGGCCUGCCAUUGAGAGAGGUUCUAAACAAGGCAAAAAAAAAAAAAAAAGGGAGGAAUGGAGAAAGACGGUCGACAAGUCUUGCCUGGUGCCCCAACGGUCCAACAGACUAAGGGAUAGGUAAAGGUAAAGGACAUUGUGAUAAGUGGUAGAGCGCUCAGCUUCCAAAUAGAUGGUCUCGAGUUUAAAUCUCAUUGAAGGCUGGGAUUUUGAAUUUCAUGAUUUUUUAGAACGCCCGGUCCCUAAAUCCACCUAACUCGAGGAUACCUGACACUUGAUGAGGAAAGUAAACGCGGUAAAUCGUUGUGCUGGCCACACGACACACUGCUCGUUAACCGUUGACCAAAGAAACAAAUGACCUUUACAUCACCUUCCCCAUAGACCAUAGAACGCAAGGUCUGAAAAGUUCACUUUACUUUUUUAUUACUUCAUAAUUUGUAUCAGUUGAUAUUUUGAAGUGUGUGUUCAAAUUUUUCAACGUAACCUACGAGUAAUACUAUGGCGGAUAAUUGGUUUGUAUUGGUGGAAGAGAUUCUGAUGUAACCCACGAGCAAGGUUACAUAUUAAGGGAUUGAACGUGGACGCCAGGGGGAGACAGUGACAGAAAGACGAGUAGUUUAAAGUCUUACGUUUUAAAUUGUUCAGGAGAAUAUUUCACUAGUGUCUCCACAUAAAUCUACAUUGAACUUAUCAGCUGAAAAGAUGGUCAAUAAACGUUGUGUUCAUGUUUUCGCUAGAAAAAGAA
Biomphalaria glabrata is the source of this 2578-nucleotide long non-coding RNA. RefSeq lists it as uncharacterized. NCBI's taxonomy places the organism in Eukaryota, Metazoa, Mollusca, Gastropoda, Planorbidae. The transcript has 3 exons. The record is from RefSeq and is a predicted model, not a curated record.